AGUGCUUUAUUUUAUAAAAAAAUAUAGUUUUGAAGAGACUGAGAAGACAGCACUU
RNAcentral lists this transfer RNA (55 nucleotides) under Globodera rostochiensis. Its description in RNAcentral is "tRNA-Phe". Lineage: Eukaryota; Metazoa; Nematoda; Chromadorea; Rhabditida; Heteroderidae. RNAcentral also lists the same sequence under 1 other name. The record is from RNAcentral.